Molecule: ribosomal RNA, 776 nt
Filed under: uncultured archaeon
Lineage: Archaea
Description: bacterial SSU rRNA
Rfam family: Archaeal small subunit ribosomal RNA
Source: RNAcentral
CUAGUCGUGUGUCUCCAAGCCACGAUGGAGACGCGGCGCACAGCUCAGUAACACGUGGCCAACCUACCCUUGGGACGGAAACAACCCCGGGAAACUGGGGCUAAUUUCCGAUAGGUGAAGACUCCUGGAAUGGAUCUUCGCCCAAAAGACGCUUAGAUCAUGCUUCUAGGCGUUGCCCAAGGAUGGAGCCGCGGCCGAUCAGGUUGUUGGUGAGGUAACGGCUCACCAAGCCUUUAACCGGUUCGGGCUGUGGGAGCGGUAGCCCGGAGAUGGGUACUGAGACAAGGACCCAGGCCCUACGGGGCGCAGCAGUUACGAAAAUUUCGCAAUACGCGAAAGCGUGACGGAGCUAUCCCGAGUGCCGUCCGCUGAGGAUGGCUUUUCCCCAGUGUAGAUAGCUGGGGGAAUAAGGAGAGGGCAAGUCUGGUGUCAGCCGCCGCGGUAAUACCAGCUCUCCGAGUGGUGGGGACGUUUAUUGGGCCUGAAGCAUCCGUAGCUGGCUGAGCAAGUCCUCCGUUAAAUCCAGCGAUUUAAUCGUUGAUCUGCGGGGGAUACUGUUCGGCUAGGGGGCGGGAGAGGCCGACGGUAUUCUCGGGGUAGGGGUGAAAUCCUAUAAUCCCGGGAAGACCACCAGUGGCGAAGGCUGUCGGCUAGAACGCGCCCGACGGUGAGGGAUGAAAGCUGGGGGAGCGAACCGGAUUAGAUACCCGGGUAGUCCCAGCUGUAAACGAUGCAGGCUAGGUGUUAGAGCGGCCACGUGCCGCUCUAGUGCCGCA